UACGUAGGCAGCAAGCGUUGUUCGGAGUUACUGGGCGUAAAGGGUGCGUAGGCGGCUUUUUAAGUUUGGUGUGAAAUCUCCCGGCUCAACUGGGAGGGUGCGCCGAAUACUGAGAGGCUAGAGUGUGGGAGAGGAAAGUGGAAUUCCUGGUGUAGCGGUGAAUGCGUAGAUAUCAGGAGGAACACCGGUGGUGUAAACGGCUUUCUGGACCAUAACUGACGCUGAUGCACGAAAGCGUGGGUAGCAAACAGG
Molecule: ribosomal RNA, 252 nt
Filed under: uncultured bacterium
Lineage: Bacteria
Description: partial 16S ribosomal RNA
Rfam family: Bacterial small subunit ribosomal RNA
Source: RNAcentral